This 28-nucleotide small RNA is filed under the name Bombyx mori (domestic silkworm). RNAcentral's name for it is "ovarian small RNA-32114". The record is from RNAcentral. Lineage: Eukaryota; Metazoa; Arthropoda; Insecta; Lepidoptera; Bombycidae.
UGAGAACGUCGGUCACUUGAUGGGCAGG